RNAcentral lists this ribosomal RNA (138 nucleotides) under Nicotiana sylvestris (wood tobacco). RNAcentral's name for it is "5.8S ribosomal RNA". It matches the Rfam family "5.8S ribosomal RNA". Rfam says of the family: 5.8S ribosomal RNA (5.8S rRNA) is a component of the large subunit of the eukaryotic ribosome. It is transcribed by RNA polymerase I as part of the 45S precursor that also contains 18S and 28S rRNA. The record is from Rfam by way of RNAcentral. Lineage: Eukaryota; Viridiplantae; Streptophyta; Magnoliopsida; Solanales; Solanaceae.
AACCCUUCGGGCUUGGGCGCGCAAAAAGGAGGUGUGACAAUACUUGGUGUGAAUUUUAGAAUCCCGUGAACCAUCGAGUCUUUGAACACAAGUUGCGCCCAAAGCCAUUAGGCCGGGGGCACAUCUUCCUAGGCAUCA